This is a non-coding RNA of Cicer arietinum (chickpea), 720 nucleotides long. The record is from RefSeq and is a predicted model, not a curated record. NCBI's taxonomy places the organism in Eukaryota, Viridiplantae, Streptophyta, Magnoliopsida, Fabales, Fabaceae.
AUUUAAGGUCACAAUUAUAAUUUACUCUAACUUUCUGCACAUAACUCAACUUCUACAAAUUCAUGUCAUUUUGAAAUAUUUAUGGUUUACAUACUGCAACACUCCAACAUUUAUGCAAGGCAAAAAGAAAUCGCAAAUGAAACACCAUAAAAAAGGGGAAUUGCCACAAUCUGUAAUACAAGUCUGGUAAAGAUAUUAUUAGGGUAGUGGAUGAGGUCAUUUCUUCAACUUCAACGUCAUCAACCAAAAAAAUUUGUGUCACCGUCAAAAUCAAAGAUAUCAGGUUACCUGCAAUAGAUGAUAUAGAUAACUACAUUUAGGGCAGUCAACUACAAACUCAAAUCACAUCUUCAUCUCAAUACACUUCACAAGAGAAGUUUAUGUACAAUGCUCAAGCUAAAACUCUUCGCCAAAUCAAUGCUAUUGGACAUGAAAUGAUUUGUGUCACUGUGGCAACUCUGUCAAAGGUUGUGGCAGACAAAUUCGAUUGGUUUUAUCUUGAUUGCACUAAUUGCACAGUCAAAACUAAAGAAGGGAUUACAAAUUAUCAGUGUAAAUGUGGUGUUCAGGUUGACAAACCAAUUCCAAGAACUUCAAGAUAUAAUGGGGACCACUCUAGCUUUUCAUGUAAAACUACAACCAUCUUUAAAGCAGUGUUAUGUUAAUAAGUCAUGGAGUGAUGUUGCACUUAUUGUUGUAAUUAAGGAACAAUUUCAAAUU